Molecule: ribosomal RNA, 493 nt
Filed under: uncultured bacterium
Lineage: Bacteria
Description: partial 16S ribosomal RNA
Rfam family: Bacterial small subunit ribosomal RNA
Source: RNAcentral
AUUGAACGCUGGCGGCAUGCCUUACACAUGCAAGUCGAACGGUAACAGGUUAAGCUGACGAGUGGCGAACGGGUGAGUAAUGUAUCGGAACGUGCCCAAUAGUGGGGGAUAGCCCGGCGAAAGCCGGAUUAAUACCGCAUGAGACCUGAGGGUGAAAGCGGGGGAUCGCAAGACCUCGCGCUGUUGGAGCGGCCGAUAUCAGAUUAGGUAGUUGGUGGGGUAAAGGCCUACCAAGCCUGCGAUCUGUAGCUGGUCUGAGAGGAUGACCAGCCACACUGGGACUGAGACACGGCCCAGACUCCUACGGGAGGCAGCAGUGGGGAAUUUUGGACAAUGGGCGAAAGCCUGAUCCAGCCAUUCCGCGUGCAGGAUGAAGGCCCUCGGGUUGUAAACUGCUUUUGUACAGAACGAAAAGGUUUCUACUAAUACUAGGAGCUCAUGACGGUACUGUAAGAAUAAGCACCGGCUAACUACGUGCCAGCCGCCGCCGUAA